GACGAACGCUGGCGGCGUGCCUAACACAUGCAAGUCGAACGGAAAGGCCCUGACCUUGUGGGGUGCUCGAGUGGCGAAAGGGUGAGUAACACGUGGGUAAACAGCCCUUGACUUUGGGAAAAAUUCAGGAAAAAGGGGCUAAUACAGGAUAGGAGCUCCUGCAGGACGGUGGGGGGUGGAAAGGUUCGGCGGAUGGGGAUGUAGUCGCGGCUUAUCAGCUUGUUGGUGGGGUAGUGGCUUACCAAGGCUUUGACGGGUAGCCGGCCUGGGAGGGUGACCGGCCACAUUGGGCCUGAGAUACGGCCCAGACUCCUACGUGAGGCAGCAGUGGGAGAUAUUGCACGAUGGGCGGAAGCCUUAUGCAGCGUCGCCGCGUGCUGGAUGACGGCCUUCGGGUUGUAAACCGCUUUCGCCUGUGACGAAGCGUGAUUGACGGUAACUAGUAAAGAAGCACCGGCUAACUACGUG
RNAcentral lists this ribosomal RNA (468 nucleotides) under uncultured bacterium. RNAcentral describes it as "partial 16S ribosomal RNA". It matches the Rfam family "Bacterial small subunit ribosomal RNA", at positions 28 to 507 of the family's 1533-position model. The record is from RNAcentral.